Molecule: long non-coding RNA, 1462 nt
Filed under: Homo sapiens (human)
Lineage: Eukaryota; Metazoa; Chordata; Mammalia; Primates; Hominidae
Description: non-protein coding lnc-CCL1-8:1
Source: RNAcentral
AGCAACAUUUGGAUCUCCAUCUUUUCUUGGAGUGGUUGUGUGUCCCUGUGCAAAUUACUAAGCCUUUUGGCCAUAACCAGUCUCAGCAAGACAUCCUACAAGAGAAUACGAUUCUUAAAGCUACUGAAGUGCAGUUCCCGCCAAAGCCGGUAGUAACACCUGAAGCAAAGGCGUUGAUUCGACGAUGCUUGGCCUACCGAAAGGAGGACCGCAUUGAUGUCCAGCAGCUGGCCUGUGAUCCCUACUUGUUGCCUCACAUCCAAAAGUCAGUCUCUACGAGUAGCCCUGCUGGAGCUGCUAUUGCAUCAACCUCUGGGGCGUCCAAUAACAGUUCUUCUAAUUGAGACUGACUCCAAGGCCACAAACUGUUCAACACACACAAAGUGGACAAAUGGCGUUCAGCAGCGGGUUUGGAACAUAGCGAAUCCGAAUGGAUCUGAUGAAACCUGUACCAGGUGCUUCUAUUUUCUUGCUUUUUUCCCAUCCAUAGAGCAUGACAGCAUCGAUUCUCAUUGAGGAGAAACCUUGGGCAGCUCCGGCCAGGCCUUGUAGGAAAAGGCCCCGCCCGAGGUUCCAGCGUCAACGGCCACUGUGUGUGGCUGCUCUGAGUGAGGAAAAAAUUAAAAGGAAAAACUGGUUCCAUGUACUGUGAACUUGAAAACAUGCAGACUCAGGGGGGUCCCUGAUUCAGAUGAAGAAUGUGGACUUGAAAAUACAGACUGGGCUAGUCCAGUGUCUGUAUUUAAACUUGUUCUUUUCUUUUAAUAAAGUUUAGGUAACAUCUCCUGAAAAGCUUGUAGCACAAAGGCUCAGCUGGGGAUGGUGUUUGACUUCGGAGGAAAAAAGUUGCUAUUGCCCGUUAAAGGCACUAGAGUUAGUGUUUUUUCCCUAAAUAAUUUCAAUUUUUAAAAACAUGCAGCUUCCCUCUCCUCUUUUUUAUUUUUGAAAGAAUACAUUUGGUCAUAAAGUGAAACCCGUAUUAGCAAGUACGUGGCAAUGUUCAUUCCAAUCAGAUGCAGCUUUCUCCUUCGUCUGGUCUCCUGUUUGCAAUUGCUUCCCUCAUCUCAGUAGGGAAAAAAUUGAGUGGGAAUACUGAGAUGUGUGGGUUUUUGCCAUUGGACAAAGAAUGAGGUUAGAAGACUGCAGCUUGGAGUCCCUCUAGGUUUUCAACUAUUUCUUCACAAUUUGAACACUUGACGGUUGUCCCUUUUAAUUUAUUUGAAGUGCUAUUUUUUUAAAUAAAGGUUCAUCUGUCCAUGCAAAAAAAAAAAAAAAAAAAAAAAACAAAUUCAAAGUAUCAAUAUAGUAUACAGUCCACAAGUAGCCCUUGAUAAAAUGCUAGUAGGACCAUUUCUUUUCAUUAAUCUCUGUGAUGGAAUAAAAUUUGCAUGGAUGGUGCUUUUUUUAUAUUUUUAUUUUUUAUUUUAUUUUAUUUUAUUAUUAUUAUACUUUAAGUUUUAGG